RNAcentral lists this ribosomal RNA (444 nucleotides) under uncultured bacterium. RNAcentral's name for it is "partial 16S ribosomal RNA". It matches the Rfam family "Bacterial small subunit ribosomal RNA", at positions 339 to 795 of the family's 1533-position model. The record is from RNAcentral.
CUACGGGCUGCUGCAGUGGGGAAUAUUGCACAAUGGGCGCAAGCCUGAUGCAGCAACGCCGCGUGGGGGACGACGGCCUUCGGGUUGUAAACCUCUUUUAGUAGGGAAGAAGCGCAAGUGACGGUACCUACAGAAAAAGCACCGGCUAACUACGUGCCAGCAGCCGCGGUAAUACGUAGGGUGCAAGCGUUGUCCGGAAUUAUUGGGCGUAAAGAGCUCGUAGGCGGUUUGUCGCGUCUGCUGUGAAAAUCCGAGGCUCAACCUCGGACCUGCAGUGGGUACGGGCAAACUAGAGUGCGGUAGGGGAGAUUGGAAUUCCUGGUGUAGCGGUGGAAUGCGCAGAUAUCAGGAGGAACACCAAUGGCGAAGGCAGAUCUCUGGGCCGUAACUGACGCUGAGGAGCGAAAGCGUGGGGAGCGAACAGGAUUAGAUACCCUGGUAGUC